AUUCCAGCUCCAAUAGCGUAUAUUAAAGUUGUUGCAGUUAAAAAGCUCGUAGUUGGACUUGUGGUGGUCCCUGUGGUCCUUUUUUUGGUACUUUCGGGGACUGCCAUCCUUGGGCGGAUCCUGUGUGGCAUUAGGUUGUCGUGCAGGGGAUGCCCAUCGUUUACUGUGAAAAAAUCAGAGUGUUCAAAGCAGGCUUAUGCCGUUGAAUGUAUUAGCAUGGAAUAAUGAGAUAGGACCUUGGUACUAUUUUGUUGGUUUGCGCACCGAGGUAAUGAUUAAUAGGGACAGUUGUGGGUAUUCGUAUUCCAUUGUCAGAGGUGAAAUUCUUGGAUUUCUGGAAGACGAACUAAUGCGAAAGCAUUUACCAAGGAUGUUUUCAUUAAUCAAGAACGAAAGUUAGGGGAUCGAAGAUGAUUAGAUACCAUCGUAGUCGUCA
Molecule: ribosomal RNA, 436 nt
Filed under: Halamphora sp. NE-2015
Lineage: Eukaryota; Bacillariophyta; Bacillariophyceae; Naviculales; Amphipleuraceae
Description: SSU rRNA
Rfam family: Eukaryotic small subunit ribosomal RNA
Source: RNAcentral